GUGGGGAAUAUUGGACCAUGGGCGAAAGCCUGAUCCAGCCAUGCCGCGUGUGUGAAGAAGGUCUUCGGAUUGUAAAGCACUUUAAGUUGGGAGGAAGGGCAGUAAGUUAAUACCUUGCUGUUUUGACGUUACCGACAGAAUAAGCACCGGCUAACUUCGUGCCAGCAGCCGCGGUAAUACGAAGGGUGCAAGCGUUAAUCGGAAUUACUGGGCGUAAAGCGCGCGUAGGUGGUUUUGUAAGUUGGAGGUGAAAUCCCCGGGCUCAACCUGGGAACUGCCUCCAAAACUGCAUGACUAGAGUACGGUAGAGGGUAGUGGAAUUUCCUGUGUAGCGGUGAAAUGCGUAGAUAUAGGAAGGAACACCAGUGGCGAAGGCGACUACCUGGACUGAUACUGACACUGAGGUGCGAAAGCGUGGGGAGCAAACAGGAUUAGAAACCCUGGUAGUCC
Molecule: ribosomal RNA, 450 nt
Filed under: uncultured bacterium
Lineage: Bacteria
Description: partial 16S ribosomal RNA
Rfam family: Bacterial small subunit ribosomal RNA
Source: RNAcentral